RNAcentral lists this transfer RNA (78 nucleotides) under Polymyxa betae. Its description in RNAcentral is "tRNA-Val". Lineage: Eukaryota; Endomyxa; Phytomyxea; Plasmodiophorida; Plasmodiophoridae. The record is from RNAcentral.
UGCACUCGACGGGAUUUGAACCCGCGCGUUGUUUCCAACAUCACCGCGUAAAGGUGACGCCAUAGACCGCUCGGCCUC